UCCACCGUGAGGUGGAAUUUGAAGGAAGUCCAAGGCAACACUCUGAUCCGACGAACAGGAACCUCAUAGGAGGCGGAUGCAGGCGGAUAAGUUUGCUAAACAAAAUGAAGUCCGACCGUUAUCCGGGAGCCUGCAAGCGUAAAUGAGGCGGAUAGAUGGAGUAAAAGUAACAUCU
This 175-nucleotide non-coding RNA is filed under the name Fodinibius roseus. Lineage: Bacteria; Pseudomonadati; Balneolota; Balneolia; Balneolales; Balneolaceae. The record is from RNAcentral.